RNAcentral lists this ribosomal RNA (496 nucleotides) under uncultured bacterium. RNAcentral's name for it is "partial 16S ribosomal RNA". It matches the Rfam family "Bacterial small subunit ribosomal RNA", at positions 28 to 507 of the family's 1533-position model. The record is from RNAcentral.
GAUGAACGCUGGCGGCGUGCCUAAUACAUGCAAGUCGAGCGAACGGACGAGAAGCUUGCUUCUCUGAUGUUAACGGCGGACGGGUGAGUAACACGUGGAUAACCUACCUAUAAGACUGGGAUAACUUCGGGAAACCGGAGCUAAUACCGGAUAAUAUUUUGAACCGCAUGGUUCAAAAGUAAAAGACGGUCUUGCUGUCACUUAUAGAUGGAUCCGCGCUGCAUUAGCUAGUUGGUAAGGUAACGGCUUACCAAGGCAACGAUGCAUAGCCGACCUGAGAGGGGGAUCGGCCACACUGGAACUGAGACACGGUCCAGACUCCUACGGGAGGCAGCAGUAGGGAAUCUUCCGCAAUGGCGAAAGCCUGACGGAGCAACGCCGCGUGAGUGAUGAAGGUCUUCGGAUCGUAAAACUCUGUUAUUAGGGAAGAACAUAUGUGUAAGUAACUGUGCACAUCUUGACGGUACCUAAUCAGAAAGCCACGGCUAACUACGUG